Molecule: ribosomal RNA, 449 nt
Filed under: uncultured bacterium
Lineage: Bacteria
Description: partial 16S ribosomal RNA
Rfam family: Bacterial small subunit ribosomal RNA
Source: RNAcentral
AACGAACGCUGGCGGCAGGCCUAACACAUGCAAGUCGAGCGAGGACUUCGGUCCUAGCGGCGGACGGGUGAGUAACGCGUGGGAACGUGCCCUUUGCUACGGAAUAGCCCCGGGAAACUGGGAGUAAUACCGUAUGUGCCCUUCGGGGGAAAGAUUUAUCGGCAAAGGAUCGGCCCGCGUUGGAUUAGGUAGUUGGUGGGGUAAUGGCCUACCAAGCCGACGAUCCAUAGCUGGUUUGAGAGGAUGAUCAGCCACACUGGGACUGAGACACGGCCCAGACUCCUACGGGAGGCAGCAGUGGGGAAUCUUAGACAAUGGGGGAAACCCUGAUCUAGCCAUGCCGCGUGAGCGAUGAAGGCCUUAGGGUUGUAAAGCUCUUUCAGUGGGGAAGAUAAUGACGGUACCCACAGAAGAAGCCCCGGCUAACUCCGUGCCAGCCGCCGCCGUAA